Molecule: ribosomal RNA, 253 nt
Filed under: uncultured bacterium
Lineage: Bacteria
Description: partial 16S ribosomal RNA
Rfam family: Bacterial small subunit ribosomal RNA
Source: RNAcentral
UACAGAGGGUGCGAGCGUCAAUCGGAAUUACUGGGCGUAAAGCGUGCGUAGACGGUUAUUUAAGUCGGGUGUGAAAGCCCCGGGCUCAACCUGGGAAUUGCAUUCGAGACUGAAUAGCUAGGGUACGGUAGAGGGAAGCGGAAUUUCCGGUGUAGUGGUGAAAUGCGUAGAGAUCGGCAGGAACACCCGUGGCGGAAGCGGCCACCUAGCCCGCACCUGACGCUGAGGCGCGACAGCGUGGGGAGCGAACGGG